GGGUUGUGAGGUUAAGCGACUAAGCGUACACGGUGGAUGCCCUGGCAGUCAGAGGCGAUGAAGGGCGUGCUAAUCUGCGAUAAGCGCCGGUAAGGUGAUAUGAACCGUUAUAACCGGCGAUACCCGAAUGGGGAAACCCAGUGUGAUUCGUCACACUAUCAUUAACUGAAUCCAUAGGUUAAUGAGGCGAACCGGGGGAACUGAAACAUCUAAGUACCCCGAGGAAAAGAAAUCAACCGAGAUUCCCCCAGUAGCGGCGAGCGAACGGGGAGGAGCCCAGAGCCUGAAUCAGCAUGUGUGUUAGUGGAAGCGUCUGGAAAGGCGCGCGAUACAGGGUGACAGCCCCGUACACAAAAGCGCAUGUGCUGUGAGCUCGAUGAGUAGGGCGGGACACGUGGUAUCCUGUCUGAAUAUGGGGGGACCAUCCUCCAAGGCUAAAUACUCCUGACUGACCGAUAGUGAACCAGUACCGUGAGGGAAAGGCGAAAAGAACCCCGGCGAGGGGAGUGAAAAAGAACCUGAAACCGUGUACGUACAAGCAGUGGGAGCNNNNNNNNNNNNNNNNNNNNNNNNNNNNNNNNNNNNGGGCGUUAAGUUGCAGGGUAUAGACCCGAAACCCGGUGAUCUAGCCAUGGGCAGGUUGAAGGUUGGGUAACACUAACUGGAGGACCGAACCGACUAAUGUUGAAAAAUUAGCGGAUGACCUGUGGCUGGGGGUGAAAGGCCAAUCAAACCGGGAGAUAGCUGGUUCUCCCCGAAAGCUAUUUAGGUAGCGCCUCGUGAAUUCAUCUCCGGGGGUAGAGCACUGUUUCGGCUAGGGGGCCAUCCCGGCUUACCAACCCGAUGCAAACUGCGAAUACCGGAGAAUGUUAUCACGGGAGACACACGGCGGGUGCUAACGUCCGUCGUGAAGAGGGAAACAACCCAGACCGCCAGCUAAGGUCCCAAAGUCAUGGUUAAGUGGGAAACGAUGUGGGAAGGCCCAGACAGCCAGGAUGUUGGCUUAGAAGCAGCCAUCAUUUAAAGAAAGCGUAAUAGCUCACUGGUCGAGUCGGCCUGCGCGGAAGAUGUAACGGGGCUAAACCAUGCACCGAAGCUGCGGCAGCGACACUGUGUGUUGUUGGGUAGGGGAGCGUUCUGUAAGCCUGUGAAGGUGUGUCGUGAGGCAUGCUGGAGGUAUCAGAAGUGCGAAUGCUGACAUAAGUAACGAUAAAGCGGGUGAAAAGCCCGCUCGCCGGAAGACCAAGGGUUCCUGUCCAACGUUAAUCGGGGCAGGGUGAGUCGACCCCUAAGGCGAGGCCGAAAGGCGUAGUCGAUGGGAAACGGGUUAAUAUUCCCGUACUUGGUGUUACUGCGAAGGGGGGACGGAGAAGGCUAUGUUGGCCGGGCGACGGUUGUCCCGGUUUAAGCGUGUAGGUGUGUGUUCCAGGUAAAUCCGGUUCACUUUAACACUGAGGCGUGACGACGAGGCACUACGGUGCUGAAGCAACAAAUGCCCUGCUUCCAGGAAAAGCCUCUAAGCAUCAGGUAACAUCAAAUCGUACCCCAAACCGACACAGGUGGUCAGGUAGAGAAUACCAAGGCGCUUGAGAGAACUCGGGUGAAGGAACUAGGCAAAAUGGUGCCGUAACUUCGGGAGAAGGCACGCUGACACGUAGGUGAAGUGAUUUACUCAUGGAGCUGAAGUCAGUCGAAGAUACCAGCUGGCUGCAACUGUUUAUUAAAAACACAGCACUGUGCAAACACGAAAGUGGACGUAUACGGUGUGACGCCUGCCCGGUGCCGGAAGGUUAAUUGAUGGGGUCAGCGCAAGCGAAGCUCCUGAUCGAAGCCCCGGUAAACGGCGGCCGUAACUAUAACGGUCCUAAGGUAGCGAAAUUCCUUGUCGGGUAAGUUCCGACCUGCACGAAUGGCGUAAUGAUGGCCAGGCUGUCUCCACCCGAGACUCAGUGAAAUUGAACUCGCUGUGAAGAUGCAGUGUACCCGCGGCAAGACGGAAAGACCCCGUGAACCUUUACUAUAGCUUGACACUGAACAUUGAGCCUUGAUGUGUAGGAUAGGUGGGAGGCUUUGAAGUGUGGACGCCAGUCUGCAUGGAGCCGACCUUGAAAUACCACCCUUUAAUGUUUGAUGUUCUAACGUGGACCCGUUACCCGGGUUGCGGACAGUGUCUGGUGGGUAGUUUGACUGGGGCGGUCUCCUCCUAAAGAGUAACGGAGGAGCACGAAGGUUGGCUAAUCCUGGUCGGACAUCAGGAGGUUAGUGCAAUGGCAUAAGCCAGCUUGACUGCGAGCGUGACGGCGCGAGCAGGUGCGAAAGCAGGUCAUAGUGAUCCGGUGGUUCUGAAUGGAAGGGCCAUCGCUCAACGGAUAAAAGGUACUCCGGGGAUAACAGGCUGAUACCGCCCAAGAGUUCAUAUCGACGGCGGUGUUUGGCACCUCGAUGUCGGCUCAUCACAUCCUGGGGCUGAAGUAGGUCCCAAGGGUAUGGCUGUUCGCCAUUUAAAGUGGUACGCGAGCUGGGUUUAGAACGUCGUGAGACAGUUCGGUCCCUAUCUGCCGUGGGCGCUGGAGAACUGAGGGGGGCUGCUCCUAGUACGAGAGGACCGGAGUGGACGCAUCACUGGUGUUCGGGUUGUCAUGCCAAUGGCACUGCCCGGUAGCUAAAUGCGGAAGAGAUAAGUGCUGAAAGCAUCUAAGCACGAAACUUGCCCCGAGAUGAGUUCUCCCUGAGACUUAAAGUCUCCUGAAGGAACGUUGAAGACGACGACGUUGAUAGGCCGGGUGUGUAAGCGCAGCGAUGCGUUGAGCUAACCGGUACUAAUGAACCGUGAGGCUUAACCUUACAACGCCGAAG
RNAcentral lists this ribosomal RNA (2856 nucleotides) under Salmonella enterica subsp. enterica serovar Enteritidis. RNAcentral's name for it is "bacterial LSU rRNA". It matches the Rfam family "Bacterial large subunit ribosomal RNA". The record is from RNAcentral. Lineage: Bacteria; Pseudomonadati; Pseudomonadota; Gammaproteobacteria; Enterobacterales; Enterobacteriaceae.